This 240-nucleotide unclassified non-coding RNA is filed under the name soil metagenome. Its description in RNAcentral is "partial contains 5.8S ribosomal RNA, internal transcribed spacer 2, and large subunit ribosomal RNA". The record is from RNAcentral.
AACCAUAGAAACCUGCGGAGUACCUGCGGAGGGAUCAUUAUAGUAUAUGGAAUCUCCAUUCUAUAAACCCACUCUGCGUAUCUUGUAACUGUUGCUUCCAUGGGACUUGGUUCCGCCACACCGGCUUCACGGCUGGUGAGCGCCCAUGGAAGGAGAAACAAAACUCUUCUUUGAAAUGUAGUCAGUCUAAACAAGUUUUUAUAAACGUUAAAACUUUUAACAAUGGAUCUCAGAUCGGAA